RNAcentral lists this long non-coding RNA (435 nucleotides) under Zosterops lateralis melanops. RNAcentral describes it as "lncRNA (ENSZLMG00000004584.1)". The record is from RNAcentral. Lineage: Eukaryota; Metazoa; Chordata; Aves; Passeriformes; Zosteropidae.
AAAUGACCCUCGUGGUGCAACAUCCUGAGCCAGCCCAGCGCGGGUGACAUUUGACUGGAUUUCCAGCCCCGGGACUUGCCUCCCAUUUGAUUUUGCCGCAGCGGGAUCAACAAUUGGCUCGGAAGGAAGGCACGGGGAGCGCUGAUAAAGUCGGGRCUCACAACAACAAGCCCAGCAGCGCUGGUGACCCCUUGGGCAGCUCAGAGAAUUUCCACACAGAACUCUGGGGCUCAGCAGGACCUGGGAUUGUGCAGGGGCUGCUGAUSCUGGUGGGAAUUGUUGGAAAAGAGGAGAGAUUGUUGGAAAUUGGGAGGAAUUGUUGGGAAGAGGGAGACUGACUCAACCGAUGUUGAUCAAUCAGGCGAAUGCACACCUCAGAGCUCUGCCCCUCAGCUACUGAUCCCUAAUCAGCUCUUAAUUAGCUUGAUGAGUGAC